GGUGUAUCAGCCCGACCCCCCCGGGGCUGAUACACGACGACCUCCGCCUCCUCCCCCCCUGGCGGGGGUCGUCCCUU
This 77-nucleotide non-coding RNA is filed under the name Mycobacterium farcinogenes. Its description in RNAcentral is "Mycolicibacterium farcinogenes 6C". It matches the Rfam family "6C RNA". The record is from RNAcentral. Lineage: Bacteria; Bacillati; Actinomycetota; Actinomycetes; Mycobacteriales; Mycobacteriaceae.